RNAcentral lists this ribosomal RNA (468 nucleotides) under uncultured bacterium. RNAcentral describes it as "partial 16S ribosomal RNA". It matches the Rfam family "Bacterial small subunit ribosomal RNA", at positions 28 to 507 of the family's 1533-position model. The record is from RNAcentral.
GACGAACGCUGGCGGCGUGCUUAACACAUGCAAGUCGAACGGUGAAGCUCCAGCUUGCUGGAGUGGAUCAGUGGCGAACGGGUGAGUAACACGUGAGCAACCUGCCCCUGACUCUGGAAUAAGCGCUGGAAACGGCGUCUAAUACUGGAUACGAGAAGGGCCCGCAUGGGCACUUUCUGGAAAGUUUUUCGGUUGGGGAUGGGCUCGCGGCCUAUCAGCUUGUUGGUGAGGUAAUGGCUCACCAAGGCGACGACGGGUAGCCGGCCUGAGAGGGCGACCGGCCACACUAGGACUGAGACACGGCCCAGACUCGUACGGGAGGCAGCAGUGGGGAAUGUUGCACAAUGGGCGAAAGCCUGAUGCAGCGACGCCGCGUGGGGGGAGACGGCCUUCGGGUUGUAAACCUCUUUCAACAAGGAAGAAGCGAAAGUGACGGUACCUGCAGAAGAAGCACCGGCUAACUACGUG